GGGCAAUUAGCUCAAUGGCAGAGCGUCUGCUUUACACGCAGAAGGCUGUAGGUUCAAUCCCUACAUUGCCCACGA
Molecule: transfer RNA, 75 nt
Filed under: Candidatus Portnoybacteria bacterium RBG_19FT_COMBO_36_7
Lineage: Bacteria; Candidatus Portnoyibacteriota
Description: tRNA-Val
Rfam family: tRNA
About the family: Transfer RNA (tRNA) molecules are approximately 80 nucleotides in length.
Source: RNAcentral